This 798-nucleotide ribosomal RNA is filed under the name Escherichia coli. RNAcentral's name for it is "partial 23S ribosomal RNA". It matches the Rfam family "Bacterial large subunit ribosomal RNA", at positions 467 to 1264 of the family's 2925-position model. The record is from RNAcentral. Lineage: Bacteria; Pseudomonadati; Pseudomonadota; Gammaproteobacteria; Enterobacterales; Enterobacteriaceae.
UAAAUACUCCUGACUGACCGAUAGUGAACCAGUACCGUGAGGGAAAGGCGAAAAGAACCCCGGCGAGGGGAGUGAAAAAGAACCUGAAACCGUGUACGUACAAGCAGUGGGAGCACGCUUAGGCGUGUGACUGCGUACCUUUUGUAUAAUGGGUCAGCGACUUAUAUUCUGUAGCAAGGUUAACCGAAUAGGGGAGCCGAAGGGAAACCGAGUCUUAACUGGGCGUUAAGUUGCAGGGUAUAGACCCGAAACCCGGUGAUCUAGCCAUGGGCAGGUUGAAGGUUGGGUAACACUAACUGGAGGACCGAACCGACUAAUGUUGAAAAAUUAGCGGAUGACUUGUGGCUGGGGGUGAAAGGCCAAUCAAACCGGGAGAUAGCUGGUUCUCCCCGAAAGCUAUUUAGGUAGCGCCUCGUGAAUUCAUCUCCGGGGGUAGAGCACUGUUUCGGCAAGGGGGUCAUCCCGACUUACCAACCCGAUGCAAACUGCGAAUACCGGAGAAUGUUAUCACGGGAGACACACGGCGGGUGCUAACGUCCGUCGUGAAGAGGGAAACAACCCAGACCGCCAGCUAAGGUCCCAAAGUCAUGGUUAAGUGGGAAACGAUGUGGGAAGGCCCAGACAGCCAGGAUGUUGGCUUAGAAGCAGCCAUCAUUUAAAGAAAGCGUAAUAGCUCACUGGUCGAGUCGGCCUGCGCGGAAGAUGUAACGGGGCUAAACCAUGCACCGAAGCUGCGGCAGCGACGCUGAUGCGUUGUUGGGUAGGGGAGCGUUCUGUAAGCCUGCGAAGGUGUGCUGU